AAUAAGCGGAGGAAAAGAAACCAACCGGGAUUGCCUCAGUAACGGCGAGUGAAGCGGCAACAGCUCAAAUUUGAAAGCCCGCGGGCGUUGUAAUUUGCAGGCGGAUGUUUUGGGGCGGGCGCUGUCUACGUUCCUUGGAACAGGACGCCGCAGAGGGUGAGAGCCCCGUGCGAUGGCGCCUCCAACCGCGUAAAACUCCGCCGACGAGUCGAGUUGUUUGGGAAUGCAGCUCCAAGUGGGUGGUAAAUUCCAUCUAAAGCUAAAUACUGGCGAGAGACCGAUAGCGAACAAGUACAGUGAUGGAAAGAUGAAAAGCACUUUGAAAAGAGAGUGAAACAGCACGUGAAAUUGUUGAAAGGGAAGGGUAUGCGAUUAGCGGCCAGCAGGAGGUGCCUUCUCGUGAAAAGGCCGUGCACCGUCUUCGGACACCGUGCGCGGAGAUGGCGAGGGGGCGCCUGAGGUCUGCGACUCGA
This 473-nucleotide ribosomal RNA is filed under the name Diutina rugosa. Its description in RNAcentral is "eukaryotic LSU rRNA". It matches the Rfam family "Eukaryotic large subunit ribosomal RNA", at positions 45 to 506 of the family's 3401-position model. Lineage: Eukaryota; Fungi; Ascomycota; Pichiomycetes; Serinales; Debaryomycetaceae. The record is from RNAcentral.